GACGAACGCUGGCGGCGUGCCUAACACAUGCAAGUCGAACGGAGAUAUGAUUUCGGUUAUAUCUUGGUGGCGAACGGGUGAGUAACGCGUGAGCAACCUGACUCUUAGAGGGGGAUAACACUCGGAAACGGGUGCUAAUACCGCAUAAGACCACGACAUGGCAUCAUGACGAGGUCAAAGGAGCAAUCCGCUGAGAGAGGGGCUCGCGUCCCAUUAGAUAGAUGGCGGGGUAACGGCCCACCAUGUCAACGAUGGGUAGCCGAGCUGAGAGGCUGAUCGGCCACAAUGAAACUGAGACACGGUCCAGACUCCUACGGGAGGCAGCAGUGGGGAAUAUUGGGCAAUGGGCGCAAGCCUGACCCAGCAACGCCGCGUGAGGGAAGAAGGCUUUCGGGUUGUAAACCUCUGUCCUUGGUGAAGAAGCAGAUGACGGUAGCGUACGAAUAAGUCCCGGCUAACUACGUGCCAGCAGCCGCAGUAA
RNAcentral lists this ribosomal RNA (481 nucleotides) under uncultured bacterium. RNAcentral's name for it is "partial 16S ribosomal RNA". It matches the Rfam family "Bacterial small subunit ribosomal RNA", at positions 28 to 523 of the family's 1533-position model. The record is from RNAcentral.